This 338-nucleotide ribosomal RNA is filed under the name uncultured fungus. RNAcentral describes it as "SSU rRNA". It matches the Rfam family "Eukaryotic small subunit ribosomal RNA", at positions 20 to 372 of the family's 1831-position model. Lineage: Eukaryota; Fungi. The record is from RNAcentral.
GUAGUCAUAUGCUUGUCUCAAAGAUUAAGCCAUGCAUGUCUAAGUAUAAACACGUUAUACUGUGAAACUGCGAAUGGCUCAUUAAAUCAGUUAUAGUUUAUUUGAUGGUUUUUGCUACAUGGAUAACUGUGGUAAUUCUAGAGCUAAUACAUGCGUACAAGCCCCGACUUCUGGAAGGGGUGUAUUUAUUAGAUAAAAAUCAACACUGUUGGUGAAUCAUGAUAACUUCUCGGAUCGCAUGGCCUCGUGCUGGCGAUACUUCAUUCAAAUAUCUGCCCUAUCAACUGUCGAUGGUAGGAUAGAGGCCUACCAUGGUUGCAACGGGUAACGGGGAAUGA